Molecule: long non-coding RNA, 667 nt
Filed under: Brassica napus (rape)
Lineage: Eukaryota; Viridiplantae; Streptophyta; Magnoliopsida; Brassicales; Brassicaceae
Description: long non-coding RNA (BNAP_LNC002679)
Source: RNAcentral
UACUUGACUGAAAAUUCUUUAUUCUUCGUUGAUUUAAUCAGGAGAGACUUCAAUCCGAUGAAGAUAGAUUUUUUGUUGGACUGUUAUCAAAACACCAACUCUGCUAAAUCUUCUUCAAAAGGACCAAAGAAACCCAAUAAAACUCAAUCAUCCCUUGACAAAGAAGCUUUACCUUGAACGCCUAUUUAUGGCUACUGACUCUUAUAAAAGGAUGUUCAGUUGAAACAAAGAACAAAGCAUCCAAUCAAAUAAUUGAUGGAAUUAAACACGAAGAAACUGCGAAAGGAAAGAACUUUCAAGAACUUUAUUCAUCUUCAACCUUAUCGGAGAAGAUAGGAAUGACAAACACUCCGAUUUGGAUGAAGCUACACAACAAAAUCGCCUAUGCGAACAAAGAGUCGCCUACGCGAAAAUGAGAGUCGCCUACGCGAAAACGAGAGUAUAAUACAACCCAACGAAAACAAAAAAACAAAAGGUUAGGCGACCGGUGGCGGAAGGCCACCGGCCACCGGAACAAAGAUCUUAAAUCUGUAGCUUUUAGAAAGAGAUCGGAGAAAACAAGAGAAAAUAAUGAUUCAUGAAUCUUUGUUAAAGGGUGGAUCAUGUUAGUCUUAAUUUCUUAGUCUAUCUCAUUAUUCUCAGCUAAGUAAAGGUGCGUUCAAAAGCU